CCUACGGGAGGCAGCAGUGGGGAAUAUUGGACAAUGGGCGAAAGCCUGAUCCAGCCAUGCCGCGUGUGUGAAGAAGGCCUUCGGGUUGUAAAGCACUUUCAGUGGGGAAGAAAGCCUUGGGGCUAAUACCCUCGAGGAAGGACAUCACCCACAGAAGAAGCACCGGCUAACUCCGUGCCAGCAGCCGCGGUAAUACGGAGGGUGCGAGAGUUAAUCGGAAUUACUGGGCGUAAAGCGCGCGUAGGCGGUCUGAUAAGCCGGUUGUGAAAGCCCCGGGCUCAACCUGGGAACGGCAUCCGGAACUGUCAGGCUAGAGUGCAGGAGAGGAAGGUAGAAUUCCCGGUGUAGCGGUGAAAUGCGUAGAGAUCGGGAGGAAUACCAGUGGCGAAGGCGGUCUUCUGGACUGCCACUGACGCUGAGGUGCGAAAGCGUGGGUAGCAAACAGGAUUAGAUACCCCAGUAGUC
RNAcentral lists this ribosomal RNA (465 nucleotides) under Vreelandella stevensii. Its description in RNAcentral is "partial 16S ribosomal RNA". It matches the Rfam family "Bacterial small subunit ribosomal RNA", at positions 338 to 795 of the family's 1533-position model. The record is from RNAcentral. Lineage: Bacteria; Pseudomonadati; Pseudomonadota; Gammaproteobacteria; Oceanospirillales; Halomonadaceae.